Daphnia pulicaria is the source of this 3177-nucleotide long non-coding RNA. RefSeq lists it as uncharacterized. The record is from RefSeq and is a predicted model, not a curated record. The transcript is spliced from 11 exons. Lineage: Eukaryota; Metazoa; Arthropoda; Branchiopoda; Diplostraca; Daphniidae.
GAUUUACAGCGAUUAUUAUUUCUUUAAUUCAAUUAAUUCAAAUUAAUAAAUGCACAGUCGGCAAUGGCUAUCAGCAAAAAAAAUCUGGGAGAAACAAGUUAAUGAAUUUAGAAAACUGAGAAAGUUGACAUGAGUACAUGACCUAAGUAAGGCAAAAAUGGAUUUAAAAGAAAUGGGAUAUUUUUACCAAAGAAGGCCGCGCUAAUAUUAUAUUUAAACCGUAUUACCGUAAGUCCGUAACAUUUACUUUGAAUCAAAUUGCCUUAAAAAAAAAUUUAAAUAACGCGCGACAAAUAUUUUGAAGUUGCAUUUGGAAAAUUGGCAACACAAGUAACGACUUAUAACAAAAUGGCCACGGUUAAUCCAUUCACGAAACAUUUCUGCCGGGAUUUAUAUGUUAUACUUGUAAUUAAAAACCAUGGUGAUUGGUGAAGUCGGUGAAGUAAGAAUUGUAGAAAAGUGAAAUAAUGGGAUCUUGAGAUAGUUUUACGACUUAAAGCUGUACGGCAAGCAGGAUAUAAGCAAUAAAUAGAGGUAAAAAGUUAUACUUGAAUGGACUUCACGUCUCUUCAUCGACCACCUUUUAUCAGUAGCAGAAUGUUUUUCAAAAUUGCCUGUUGGAUGACAGCAUUUGAACUUGUCAAUGAAACCAAUGGACUGUUCACAAGCCAGUCAAGAGUAAAUCAAUCUUGCACAAGGAAACCUGGGUAGUGUAAUAUAAAAAACUUUAUACCCAGCACCUAUCUGUGGCACAUUAUGUCACUAAACUUUUGUUUACGGGGCCAUACUCAAUUCAUCACAUUGGAAGAAAAUUAAAGGUUCUAAGUUGGAAAUUUUCUGAAACCUUUUUCUGCAUUUGCAGCACCUGUGAUUGGCACCAACCUUUCCGGAUGUCAGUAAACACUAAACACACAUUAAAAUCGUUCUAAUCUAAUGACAGAUGCUAGCAAUGAAUACCAAGUCCCGUCAUAGGCAACGAAACGGAUUCGUCCACAUUAUCUAUAUCAAUGUGGCUUCAGCUGCCAAAUCCAUCUUCAGUACAUAUCGCCAGACCUAAUCUUUAGAGUAAACUCCCAACUAAACUCAUAUAUUUAUUAUUCUUCAGCUGACAACACGUUGACAUGAGUUGAUAUUGAUAGGUGCCGCUGAGGUCUGAGGGAGUAGGUGACGCAUUUAUCUAAUUUAAUAUUUAUCCAUACAUUUUUUUAGAGAGCCUUUUCAGUAGUUUUUCAUUAGCUUAUUACACGAAAAUUGGGGUGGGGUAGACCAAUAGCACACAAGAUUAGUUGAAUUCUUUCAGUAAGUUGUGUUUCCAAGAGGAAGAUGAUGAGAUAGAGCCGUAGGGCGCAAUUUUACCUUCAGUGUGUAUAGAGAUUGGGCUUUUGAACCCUCGUAGUGUUUCGUAAUUCCAAGGUAUGUGGAGGGGAGUAACGGAUAAGUUUUUCUUCUACUUAAGUCCUCGCUGGCUCGUUAUUUUUUUUUUCAACAUCAAUAUUUAAAAUUGUUAUUGUUUUUUAAGUGGUCAGAGUGGCUUAGAGUUUUCAUAAGAAAAGAGUAACACUAAUCAUCUUUUUAAAGACAUUUCAGCAGCCGGACAGCAGCGCUUGGGCAUGGAGAUAGAUGUAAGGAAAAAUACCCAUUCGGUAAGGGUGAGGCCAAUCUGCAAGUUAUUAUAAAAAUUGUUAUAUUGAUGCAUCGGAAAAGAGGAACAAACUGGCCGCCUCACGAAUUUUACCUGCAAGGCUGCAACUACGCGUGAAUUUUUCAUUCAAAUUCAACACACCCCACACUCAACCCACCUACCUUUUCAGCUCAGCCGGCUCAGCUAAUCAACGCCACGUUCCUUUAUUUGGUGACAGCCCAGUCGAAUGUUAGCUGCAUUACGAUUAAAAAGAAAACACAAAUCCGAAAUCCCCAACAACUUAUCGUUUAUCCUGCCUCUUGGUUGUGAUGUUAUCACGAGAAGUUAAUUAUUGUGACAGCAGUCCCGGAGCAAGCCCAGAAUGGAUUCUCGUUUCUGCCGGUUUGUAGAAUGUAUUUUUGAUUUUAUGUUUUUGCUUUGCUGAAAGGAGAAAUGGAAUGAGGAACUGCCACUUCACCUCAUAGGUAUUCCAGUUGCUGCUGCUCUAUAAUGGGCAACCCAAUUAAUAUUUUUUACUUUACUCUUGUGCCUUGUCAAUCCAAAUCAGUUCAAACGUCUGACACUAUUUACGAAAUCUAACAUCUGAACUUUUUAUUCCCAAGACAGAGAAAGGCAAAGCAAGCAGCCAUAAAAAUGUCUCACCACGAUCACCCUUAAACAAGUUUCAACAAACUCGGUAUUUACCAGGAGGUGGUUUGAAGGAUGUUGACAAACAGAAUUACAUUUCAGUUACAUAAAUGAAGUGUAGAUCAAAGGUUUCAGUCCUCAAGUCAACCACCUGUUACACUGUCGAUGACAUCACUAACAUGAUUUCUGCCACCCACCGCAACGGCCAGGGCUCCUGUUUAUUGUGUAUCUGAAGCAGUGAUAAAGUUAUUGAAAUUCUAUGGGUGCCAAUCCCUGCAGUUCUCGCCUCUCAAAAGGAAGCACUCAACAAACCUCCAAUGACAGGAGUAGUUAAUUUCAGCAAGCAUCAACAACAACAAAGAAGUUCCAGUUAUUCUUCAAUAAUUGCUAUUUAGAAGUUUAUCUUCCCGUAGUUGCUAUCCGAUGUGGCAUGCUGUUGCAGCCUAAGCUGAUGAAAGAUUUUUUUGCAUCGAAGUUAACCAGUGGCUGUUCCUUGUUACGGAAGUUGCAACCAAUAUUUUGUAAAUUCUGCAGUUUACCGUUUGUAUGAUAAGAAGGAACAGAAAUAUGGGAGUGUUUAUGUCGAGCAAAUAAUAAACAUUGCUUCGCGAUUGGGAAAGCAACGAGGGGAAAGUUGGGAGGUGGGUGGGAGAUGUGAUAAAUAAAAUAAAAGUUUUGUGUUUAUCAAAGAAACUGACGCGGUAAGUAGAAUAUCAGUUUCUAACCAUUAACCGUCCAAAAAUGAAAAACUCCUCAUCCCAAAGAAAUUCCUUACACCACAUUCAUAAUUAGUUGAAAGUGAAACCAUACAUGUCUAUGAAUUUUUAUUACAUCAUAACUGUUAUUACUAAAUAUUUGUAUUAAAAACAUACUGUUAUAUUAUUUAAAUAAAUAAUAAUUCAAUAGCG